GACGCAGCUUCUUCUUCAAAAUCUUCUCCAUCCUCUCCUUUGUUUUCUCAGAUAAAAUCGAUCACAAUAUUCGCAGUUAUGAGAUUGAGGAAAGUUAAAAGUUGAUUUUCCUUUAAAUCUAGCGAAGAUGGUGAAGGAAUAAAACCCUAAAUCAAUUUUUGUUGUCAUGCUUUUGUUGCUGUUAAUUGAGAGAUGAUUUCGCGAGCAACUUUGUUAUACUUCAUUAGCUUAAAUUUCAAUUUCGAUUAAGAAUCCUAAGUAAAUCUUCUUUAAAUUUUAAUUUCAGUUGUAAACCCUAACCUUUUUUUUUUUUUUUAAUUUCAGACACCUCCAGAUUCAGAUAUAUAGGGCUUCUGAAUAAGACCUUCAGGGAAACUAAUAACUGGUUGUUUGUGAUUUUAAUUUUACUCACCUCUCGGUUUCAAUCUCAAUUCUACACCAUUUUUUGAUUUUGAAUCUGUGCGUGUGGAUCUAAUAACUGGUUGUUUGUGAAUUGUGCUGGAAAACUUAGAGGAGAACUCACAAGAGAAGAAGCCUUGAGGUAGAUUUCACAAGAGGAUGCAAUACAACAGAUGUUUCGUUACUGCUGUAAUAGCAGCAAUGAGCGCCCAUGAGUACCGAUUUGAGGUGAAACAAGAGGAGAAGUUUGGUUCUUUUGGAGCCUCAUGAGGCCUGUGGAAUAUAUAAGAACAUGAAAACUUAAUGGAAAAUAAAUCACUAAGCACCCCAUGACACAAACGGAAUGUGUCUUGCUGAUGAACCCAAUGGGUUAAAUGGUAAAGAAUGGAAGGAUCUUCUGUAAUUUUGGACUACUUACCAUCAGCAACGUCAAAAUAAGAAGCCAUGAAAAGGCCAAGCAUACAAUGGGACAAAAAACUUUUCUCGAUGC
Long non-coding RNA from Papaver somniferum (opium poppy), 889 nucleotides. RefSeq lists it as uncharacterized. The transcript has 4 exons. The record is from RefSeq and is a predicted model, not a curated record. NCBI's taxonomy places the organism in Eukaryota, Viridiplantae, Streptophyta, Magnoliopsida, Ranunculales, Papaveraceae.